Molecule: non-coding RNA, 179 nt
Filed under: Gammaproteobacteria bacterium
Lineage: Bacteria; Pseudomonadati; Pseudomonadota; Gammaproteobacteria
Description: 6S RNA
Rfam family: 6S / SsrS RNA
About the family: E. coli 6S RNA was the first non coding RNA to be sequenced, but its function was unknown until recently.
Source: RNAcentral
GGUUCCCUGGAGUGUUCGCCAGUCGAUAUGUCCUCGACCCUUUAUGCGACACCCAGGAGGUCUUUUUUUAUGGCCUAUGUGCAUGUCCGCGAGUCGGAACGCCUUUGUUCAUAUGGAGACCACCGCCUUGAACCGCAGGGUUCAAGGGCCUAUCCGAACAGCGGCAUUUUGGGGAACCU